RNAcentral lists this ribosomal RNA (789 nucleotides) under uncultured Synergistes sp. Its description in RNAcentral is "bacterial SSU rRNA". It matches the Rfam family "Bacterial small subunit ribosomal RNA", at positions 36 to 850 of the family's 1533-position model. Lineage: Bacteria; Thermotogati; Synergistota; Synergistia; Synergistales; Synergistaceae. The record is from RNAcentral.
CNGGCGGCGUGCUUAACACAUGCAAGUUGAACGGGCAGAUAUGGAAGCUUGCUGAAGUAUCUGUUAGUAGCGGACGGGUGAGUAAUGCAUGAGGAGCUGUCAUAGGGAGGGGGACAACAGUUGGAAACGGCUGCUAAUACCCCGUAUGCCGGAAGGUGAAAGGGAGCGAUCCGCCCGAUGAGGUACUCAUGUCCUAUCAGCUGGUUGGUGGGGUAACGGCCUACCAAGGCGACGACGGGUAGCCGGCCUGAGAGGGUGAACGGCCACACUGGAACUGAGAUACGGUCCAGACUCCUACGGGAGGCAGCAGUGGGGAAUAUUGGGCAAUGGGGGGAACCCUGACCCAGCGACGCCGCGUGAGGGAAGACGGCCUUCGGGUUGUAAACCUCUUUUGUACGGGAAGAAGGAAGUGACGGUACUGUACGAAUAAGUCCCGGCUAACUACGUGCCAGCAGCCGCGGUAAUACGUAGGGGACGAGCGUUGUCCGGAAUUACUGGGCGUAAAGGGCGCGUAGGCUGUGCUGCAAGUCAGCUGUGAAAUAUCUGGGCUUAACCUGGAUAUGCGGAUGAGACUGCAGUGCUGGAGUGCUGUAGAGGCAAGUGGAAUUCCCAGUGUAGCGGUGAAAUGCGUAGAUAUUGGGAAGAACACCGGUGGCGAAGGCGACUUGCUGGGCAGCAACUGACGCUGAGGCGCGAAAGCUAGGGGAGCGAACGGGAUUAGAUACCCCGGUAGUCCUGGCCGUAAACGAUGAAUGCUAGGUGUGGGUGUAGAGAUACAUUCGUGCCGGA